This 253-nucleotide ribosomal RNA is filed under the name uncultured bacterium. Its description in RNAcentral is "partial 16S ribosomal RNA". It matches the Rfam family "Bacterial small subunit ribosomal RNA", at positions 524 to 776 of the family's 1533-position model. The record is from RNAcentral.
UACGUAGGGUGCAAGCGUUGUCCGGAAUUAUUGGGCGUAAAGAGCGUGUAGGCGGCCCGAUUAGUCCGCUGUGAAAGUCCAGGGCUCAACCCUGGACAGGCGGUGGAAACUGCCAAGCUGGAGUACGGUAGGGGCAGAGGGAAUUUCCGGUGGAGCGGUGAAAUGCGUAGAGAUCGGAAAGAACACCAACGGCGAAAGCACUCUGCUGGGCCGACACUGACACUGAGAGACGAAAGCUAGGGGAGCGAAUGGG